This 490-nucleotide ribosomal RNA is filed under the name uncultured bacterium. RNAcentral describes it as "partial 16S ribosomal RNA". It matches the Rfam family "Bacterial small subunit ribosomal RNA", at positions 30 to 507 of the family's 1533-position model. The record is from RNAcentral.
AUUGAACGCUGGCGGCAGGCCUAACACAUGCAAGUCGAACGGUAACAGGAAGAAGCUUGCUUCUUUGCUGACGAGUGGCGGACGGGUGAGUAAUGUCUGGGAAACUUCCUGAUGGAGGGGGAUAACUACUGGAAACGGUAGCUAAUACCGCAUAACGUCGCAAGACCAAAGAGGGGGACCUUCGGGCCUCUUGCCAUCGGAUGUGCCCAGAUGGGAUUAGCUAGUAGGUGGGGUAACGGCUCACCUAGGCGACGAUCCCUAGCUGGUCUGAGAGGAUGACCAGCCACACUGGAACUGAGACACGGUCCAGACUCCUACGGGAGGCAGCAGUGGGGAAUAUUGCACAAUGGGCGCAAGCCUGAUGCAGCCAUGCCGCGUGUAUGAAGAAGGCCUUCGGGUUGUAAAGUACUUUCAGCGGGGAGGAAGGGAGUAAAGUUAAUACCUUGACUCAUUGACGUUACCCGCAGAAGAAGCACCGGCUAACUCCGUG